Triticum aestivum (bread wheat) is the source of this 3162-nucleotide long non-coding RNA. RefSeq lists it as uncharacterized. The transcript is spliced from 11 exons. NCBI's taxonomy places the organism in Eukaryota, Viridiplantae, Streptophyta, Magnoliopsida, Poales, Poaceae. The record is from RefSeq and is a predicted model, not a curated record.
ACGACCUGACGGACAAACCGCAGUCGGAACUUGUGCGUCCGCCCUCUUUCAGGUUCCUCGCCGCCGCCGCCGCCGACGACCUCACUGACAAUCCGCCGUGGGAUCUCAUGCGGGGCCCGAUCUCCUGCGUGAUAGAUCUAUUUGUUGGCCCGUGGCAACCCUCCACCUGCAGCUGCCGCCCACGCCCGCACCCCGCACCACCGCCCCCUCCGCAGGUUCUCAUCGCCGCCACCGAUUUCUCGUUCUGUCGUGCUAGGUUGAGCGCCGGCCGGAGCGGGUCGGCCACGGAGAUGGCGUCUGCGUCGUUGUCCUUGGGCUGAGAUGGGGAGGGGAGGUCGAGAUGAAGAGAGGAGGGAGAGGGAGACAGCGAGCCCAUGGAGAAGCGCAACCAAGAGCCGUCCCCGUCGUCGUCCUUGGGCUGAGAAGGGGAGGGGAGGACGAGAUGAAGAGAGGAGGGAGAGUGAGACAGCGAGCCCAUGGAGAAGCGCAACCGGGAGCAAAUCUGUCCGUCAGCGGUACGAAGCCGACAGCCCCCUCCACCUCCGUGCGGCCACCCAGACAUUUGUUGUUCGUUCAGAAUACACGGAUAAUUAAAACCUAUACGGGAGAUGGACAUUCUUCUUCCACUUCUAUACAUCAUGCUACCCACCGGGUGUGGAUAUUCACCUCCACCAAUUUCAUUCAUCCUAUGUGCUACUUCAGUUUAUUAGCUACGUUUAUACACUGUUUUUAAAGGCCUAAGCCAAAAUCGCAUGUUAAUUCCCUGCGCAAUUUUUGUUAUCCUAAUACACCUUGGCAAAAAAAAUUGUCACUCAAGAUCGAACUCACAGUACUUAGCUUUAUACCUUCAAUGCUUUUAACUGGGUGUGUGAUUCUUUUGUUACUAAAUAAGAUUAGCUUCUUCCUAUGCAUCUGUUGUUUGUUUGAUAAUUUAUUGGGCAUAUUUUCAACUGGAAGACACAAAGGAGGUGGCGUAGUGGCAUGGAGAUUCUGGUGUUGAGUGUCUUGUUUGUCUGGGUACUGUUCUGAAUAGAUGGUAACACUAAUUAUUGAGGCUAAAUGAUACUGUUAUACCGCUUUCUUGGCCUAAAUAUUAUUUAGUAAACAUCUUUGUUCCAUAUCCUAUUAAUAUGCGCAUAUCUUCUCAGUUUAUUCCCAUUGGUGCAAUGCCUAUUUGAUUUUAUUAUUAGGUAUUAUGGGAAAGUUAGUACUAAGUACCACCCUUGAGCAAGCGCUUUCUAUUUAUGUGAUUCAGUUAGCGAAUUCAGUUUUCCGUGGCCGAUGAAUACAGUAGGAGCCUGGGACCUUUUAACCGCAGAGAUGCUCAAUUAGUAAUCAAAAAAAGGCCUCAUUUCUUUGUUGGAAUUCUAUUGGUUCGGCCAUCGACACGUCUCUCUUCAAGGCAAGGUCAGGUCUAAGAUGAGCUCGUCAUAUUUUCUUUCUUCAAUCUCAGGUGAAGAUUUAUUUCCUGUGCACUAAGAUCCAUUUUUUAUGUGAAUGAGGAGGCCAGACAGCAUUUUAUGAACCGUUUAUGUCUCUGAACCGGACCAUACCGUGGGUGAUUGACGAUUGUCUUAGUGUGCAUAGCUAUAUUCUUGGGUGCAUGUUAGAUCUAAUAAUUUUGACAAUAUGUUAGGUGACCGACGAAAGAUUUGCUGAUACGUUUGCAUUUAUCGAGUUCGGUGCAGAAGCAGGUGCUAGAGCUGCACUUAACCUUGGUAGCACAAUGCUUGGGUUCUACCCUGUUAGAGUCUUGCCUUCAAAGACAACUAUCUUACCUGUGAAUCCAGAAAUUCUUCCGGUGAUGGAGGAUUAGAAAGAAAUGGUCCUAUAAACGGUUUAUUGUAAAAUAUGGAUAAAAAGGUUACUCAAUUAGAUGUAAAGAGUUUCUUUGAAGAACUUUGUGGUGAGGUGAGUUAUGGCGCAUAUCCAAUCAUCGUGUCGCAUAGCUUCUAAGCUAUGUUGAUUGCCCUGGUGAGUGACAGUGAUAUCUUUGGGGAAGCUUCAGAAAGUACAUCAACUUCUGCAACAUCUGUACCUACUGCAGAUCUUACGAGUAUUGAUCAGCUUCUGACAACAUUAAUGAGCCAGGAUGAAGUUCGAGAAGUUGCAUUACACCAUGUAAAUAUUAAGGUUCCACUUUAAUGAGCUGUGGAAGACAAGUGCACCGACAUAGCUCAUGGAGAAAUAAGAAGAUGAUGAAGAGCGAUUUAUGGGUAAAAAAAUAUAGUGAAUAGAUUUGCAUGUGAAGUCAAGUGUAUAUGCCCAGACUCGAGCAGGUUCGCUAUUAUUGUUGUUCUUGUGUGUCAAGGCUUUUGGCUGCAGACUUGCAGGUAUACAUACGAGUCCAUGCUUAAUUUUUGUUUCGUUUCUUACUUACCACUGUUAUUUCUAGCAGAAGGGGCAGCUGGGGCAUGGGGACACUCUUGCGUAACCUCCAGCUGUUGUUUCUAAACUAUGAAAGUGAGUGAUAAGCUUGAUCAUCGGAGCUUGUGAAACCGUGUGAGAUUUUGAAUCCCCACAACAAGCCCGAGAGGCUGGCACUAAUCAUGAGUAUGGGGGCUAAGAAGAUGCAUGACAAGCUCCCCCAUAUGAUCAGAGCCGUGCGUUAACCAGUGCUGAUUGUCACUUGGGUCAGCGAUCCCAUGCACCGGAACACCAUCAGCGCAUCUUGCAGGCUGAGGCUUUGUUUGAUGUCCAUGAGUGAGAGGGAGCUACCCUGGAAGGGUUCACCUAGAAAUGACAUGGCAGAACAUUACAGAGUGCAUUGGUGAAUCCAACACAAUGACCUGAAAUGAUCUCAUUUCCCGCUACCACACACAUUGCGACCCCAGGCUGAAUGCGUCACAGUCGCUCGAGCUGACUUUCACCAUUUCCGAUAGGCUAAGGAAGAAGGACAUGGAAUAACCUCAUAUCUAGGGUACAAGCUUAAGAUAUCUAUCUUAUGUUUCUUCCCUACAAAACCCUCUUCUGCUGCUGGAGGACAUAAUUUUACAUUCUUUAGUUUUUUAGUAGCAUAGGUGGCGUUUGAUUUUGGAAAUACCAAGGAAAAAUCUCCCUCAAAUAAUAGGAUAUAGUUGUUUUGUUGCAUUACCAUUUGUGCUUAGUUCAAUUUCUUUUGUGUUCAUCCUUUCUUUGAUGCAGAUAGUGUGAGGCAGAUUA